GGCGCACGGGUGCGUAACGCGUAUGCAAUCUACCUUAUACAGAGGGAUAGCCCAGAGAAAUUUGGAUUAAUAUCUCAUAGUAUUAUUGAGUGGCAUCAUUUAAUAAUUAAAGUUUCGGCGGUAUAAGAUGAGCAUGCGUCCUAUUAGCUAGAUGGAGUGGUAACGGCACCCCAUGGCAACGAUAGGUAGGGGUCCUGAGAGGGAGAUCCCCCACACUGGUACUGAGACACGGACCAGACUCCUACGGGAGGCAGCAGUGAGGAAUAUUGGUCAAUGGUCGGAAGACUGAACCAGCCAUGCCGCGUGCAGGACGACUGCCCUAUGGGUUGUAAACUGCUUUUGUAUGGGAAGAAUAAGAUCUACGUGUAGGUUGAUGACGGUACCAUACGAAUAAGGAUCGGCUAACUCCGUGCCAGCAGCCGCGGUAAUACGGAGGAUCCAAGCGUUAUCCGGAAUCAUUGGGUUUAAAGGGUCCGUAGGCGGAAUAAUAAGUCAGGGGUGAAAGUUUGCAGCUCAACUGUAAAAUUGCCUUUGAUACUGUUGUUCUUGAAUGAUUAGGAAGUGGUUAGAAUAUGUAGUGUAGCGGUGAAAUGCAUAGAUAUUACAUAGAAUACCAAUUGCGAAGGCAGAUCACUA
RNAcentral lists this ribosomal RNA (636 nucleotides) under Pustulibacterium sp. RNAcentral's name for it is "bacterial SSU rRNA". It matches the Rfam family "Bacterial small subunit ribosomal RNA", at positions 97 to 731 of the family's 1533-position model. Lineage: Bacteria; Pseudomonadati; Bacteroidota; Flavobacteriia; Flavobacteriales; Flavobacteriaceae. The record is from RNAcentral.